GAUGAACGCUAGCGGCAGGCCUAAUACAUGCAAGUCGAACGGGAUCCAGAUCAAAGCUUGCUUUGGUCUGGUGAGAGUGGCGCACGGGUGCGUAACGCGUGAGCAACCUACCCUUGUCAGGGGGAUAGCCCGGCGAAAGUCGGAUUAAUACCGCAUGACAUCAUUGAGAGGCAUCUUUCGAUGAUCAAAGAUUUAUCGGACAAGGAUGGGCUCGCGUGACAUUAGCUAGUUGGUAAGGUAACGGCUUACCAAGGCUGCGAUGUCUAGGGGCUCUGAGAGGAGAAUCCCCCACACUGGUACUGAGACACAGACCAGACUCCUACGGGAGGCAGCAGUAAGGAAUAUUGGUCAAUGGACGGAAGUCUGAACCAGCCAUGCCGCGUGCAGGAAGACGGCCCUAUGGGUUGUAAACUGCUUUUAUACGGGAACAAACGUCGGUACGUGUACCGGUCUGAGUGUACCGUAAGAAUAAGGAUCGGCUAACUCCGUG
Molecule: ribosomal RNA, 490 nt
Filed under: uncultured bacterium
Lineage: Bacteria
Description: partial 16S ribosomal RNA
Rfam family: Bacterial small subunit ribosomal RNA
Source: RNAcentral